Molecule: ribosomal RNA, 189 nt
Filed under: uncultured bacterium
Lineage: Bacteria
Description: partial 16S ribosomal RNA
Rfam family: Bacterial small subunit ribosomal RNA
Source: RNAcentral
CCCUCCCUCGGCGCGCGCGGCGGGGGGGCGGGGGCACGGGGGGCCUACGGGAGGCAGCAGUAGGGAAUAUUGGGCAAUGGAGGCAACUCUGACCCAGCCAUGCCGCGUGCAGGAAGACGGUCCUCUGGAUUGUAAACUGCUUUUGAAUGGGAAGAAUGUGCGGCUUGCGAGCUGUAAUGACGGUACCAU